UGGGAAUGAAACCAGGUGGAGACAAAGC
RNAcentral lists this non-coding RNA (28 nucleotides) under Homo sapiens (human). The record is from RNAcentral. Lineage: Eukaryota; Metazoa; Chordata; Mammalia; Primates; Hominidae.